GUACCAUCGUCUUGCCUGCCAGAAUCGGCUGUAGUCAAACCACUAAGGAAGGAAAUCUGGUCGGCCUGCCAAUAUCAUUGGGCAACCCGCUUACCAACCUUCCUACAGCUAUUUACCAUUUGUUCCUAUGCUUACCAACCUUCCUACAGCUAUUUACCAUUUGUUCCUAUGCUUACCAACCUUCCAACAGCUCUUUACCAUUUGUUCCUUUUUUUUGUAUGAUUCUGCAGUCCUGUAGCAUUGGGCAGUAGUUCUACCAUCUCAAGUUCUGGUCAUUGU
Molecule: long non-coding RNA, 279 nt
Filed under: Hordeum vulgare
Lineage: Eukaryota; Viridiplantae; Streptophyta; Magnoliopsida; Poales; Poaceae
Description: long non-coding RNA (HVUL_LNC003267)
Source: RNAcentral